GUCAGAGUGAUGGAGUAUAUUUCAUCAUCAGAAUAGUCCAACUUGUUUGCAGGAAAACAGGUGGAGAGAUCCCAAGAACAAAAGCAUAUGUAUAUCAAGCUUCUUGAGGUCCAAUCACAUAACUUGCACUUCUGCAUUCUGACCUUCAAAGCAAGUUGCAAGAGGAAUCAGAUUCAAAGCUUGGGGAAGUCAAUCCCACAUCUCAUUGGAAGGAGCAAUAAAUAUUUCUGCCCUUCAAGAGAUAAGCUUGAAGAAAGAAGUGUCAAAAAUGUAAUCAUGCAUUUGAACAGUGAUUCCCAGCCUCUCCCAAAAUUCUACAUCCAAAGAGGUACCUGAUCUGCAGAGCCCAUGAUGGGAAGAAUAAUGGACAUCCCAGCAGGAACCCAGAUUUUGGUGAGAUGUCAACUUCAACUCCUAGGGAAUGGCCUAGCCCACCAGUUCUCUUGACCUGGCCUGGAAAGAGGGGUGGGGGAGCUAGGAAAAUAACUACUGUCACAAUAAUAACAUCAGACUUGGAGGGAAAGCAAGGUCCACUACUCAAAAGAUGAGAAAUGCUGGUCCAUUUUCUCUUCUUAUGCUCAGAAAUGGGUUAAUGGUAAUCAGUUGGAAUCAUAGAAACUGAUGGAAAAGAUAGACAAAGAGAAUAUGGGUUGGAGAAGAAAAAUGAGAAUAAAAGUGGAGCAGAAAAAGGACUGGUGGAGAAAAAGAAGCCCAGAGGGCACGGAACGAUGAUCAGAAAGAAGAAUCAGACUCUGCUCCCCUGCAAUCCAGCCCUAGGAAAUCCUAUUAGGCAGCAAAAAUGAGAUUAUUGUAUUUUAACUUCUCCACAAUAUGCAAAUGACUCCAUUUAGCUGCUAAACAUGUUGUUAUUGAAUUCUGAGAAAUUCCCUUCAUAAAAUGUAAUAUUUUUGUGACAAUUUUGUCAGCAAUGCCAGAUUGCUUUUCUAUUUUGGUUAAGCUUUUAUCUGAGUCUAGUAUAUGUCAUCUACUUCCAGAUUCCAAAAUGAUUGCUUUUAUGUAAUUUUUAUGUAAGCAAGAAAUAAUAACAUGCUUAGAAAUGUGAGAAAUGUGUUAACCUUCCCAUUAUUUUUCAGUGCCCAAGAGAAUUAGAGGGUGGGCCAUAAUGGGGAAUGUAAUUAUUUCUCAUGAUGAAUUUUUAUUUAUGUUAAUAUCCUCGAGAGCCCACAUAUCUGUUAUUAACCACGUCCGUUUGUUUUGCUGUGGUCUUCGUAUCCCAUGCCUUUAAUCCUUCUACUUUUAGAUGCUGUUUGCAUAACUGGCAAAGACUUUAAACCUGUGAACAAAGGACUGAGAAAUCACACUUUAUAUCUCUGACACAUUUACUCCUCCUUGCUAACGUCACCCCAAUUCCGACGAGUUUUAAUAAAGACACUAGCCUCUC
Molecule: long non-coding RNA, 1402 nt
Organism: Oryctolagus cuniculus (rabbit)
Lineage: Eukaryota; Metazoa; Chordata; Mammalia; Lagomorpha; Leporidae
Source: RefSeq, a predicted model, not a curated record